GACGAACGCUGGCGGCGUGCUUAACACAUGCAAGUCGAACGGAAAGGCCCUGCUCUUGCGGGGUGCUCGAGUGGCGAACGGGUGAGUAACACGCGUGUAACCUGCCCCUGUCUUUGGGAUAACUCCUGGAAACUGGGGCUAAAACCGGAUAGGAGCUCCUGCUGCACGUGGGGGGUUGGAAAGUUUCGGCGGUUGGGGAUAGACUCGCGGCUUAUCCGCUUGUUGGUGGGGUAGUGGCUUACCAAGGCUUCGACGGGUAGCCGGCCUGAGAGGUUGACCGGCGACAUUGGUACUAAGGUACGCACCAGACUCCUACGGGAGGCAGCAGUGGAGAAUAUUACGGAGUGAGCGGAAGCGAGAGGCAAAAACGCCGCGAGCGGAAUAACGGCUUUCGAGUGGAGAACCGCUUUCGCCUUUAACGAAGCAUGAGUGACGGUAAUUGAUAAAAAAGCACCGGCUAACUACGUG
RNAcentral lists this ribosomal RNA (468 nucleotides) under uncultured bacterium. RNAcentral describes it as "partial 16S ribosomal RNA". It matches the Rfam family "Bacterial small subunit ribosomal RNA", at positions 28 to 507 of the family's 1533-position model. The record is from RNAcentral.